RNAcentral lists this ribosomal RNA (406 nucleotides) under uncultured bacterium. RNAcentral describes it as "bacterial SSU rRNA". It matches the Rfam family "Bacterial small subunit ribosomal RNA", at positions 28 to 424 of the family's 1533-position model. The record is from RNAcentral.
GACGAACGCUGGCGGCGUGCUUAACACAUGCAAGUCGCGCGAGAAAACGGGGGCAACUCCGUGAGUAAAGCGGCGCACGGGUGAGUAAUACGUAGGUAACCUACCUUCGAGUUCGGGAUAACCUUCCGAAAGGAGGGCUAAUACCGGCUAAGACCACGGGGCCUCGCCCUGAGGUUAAAGAUGGCCUCUGCUUGCAAGCAAUCGCUCGAAGAUGGGGCCUGCGCACCAUUAGCUAGNGGCGGGGUAACGGCCACCAGGCAAGAUGGUUAGCUGGUCUGAGAGGAUGGCAGCCACACUGGGACUGAGACACGGCCCAGACUCCUACGGGAGGCAGCAGUGGGGAAUCUUGGACAAUGGGGAAACCCUNAUCCAGCGACGCCGCGUGUGGGAUGAAGCUCUUCGGAGU